Molecule: ribosomal RNA, 253 nt
Filed under: uncultured bacterium
Lineage: Bacteria
Description: partial 16S ribosomal RNA
Rfam family: Bacterial small subunit ribosomal RNA
Source: RNAcentral
UACGUAGGGUGCGAGCGUUGUCCGGAAUUACUGGGCGUAAAGAGUUCGUAGGCGGUUUGUCGCGUCGUGUGUGAAAUCCCGCAGCUCAACUGCGGGCUUGCAGGCGAUACGGGCAGACUUGAGUACUGCAGGGGAGACUGGAAUUCCUGGUGUAGCGGUGAAAUGCGCAGAUAUCAGGAGGAACACCGGUGGCGAAGGCGGGUCUCUGGGCAGUAACUGACGCUGAGGAGCGAAAGCGUGGGGAGCGAACAGG